GUAGACAUAGUUUAAUCAAAACAUUAGAUUGUGGGCCUAUAAAUAAGAAUUCAAUCCUCUUUGUCUACC
Loxodonta africana (African savanna elephant) is the source of this 69-nucleotide transfer RNA. It matches the Rfam family "tRNA". Rfam says of the family: Transfer RNA (tRNA) molecules are approximately 80 nucleotides in length. Lineage: Eukaryota; Metazoa; Chordata; Mammalia; Proboscidea; Elephantidae. The record is from Rfam.